Megachile rotundata (alfalfa leafcutting bee) is the source of this 731-nucleotide long non-coding RNA. NCBI's taxonomy places the organism in Eukaryota, Metazoa, Arthropoda, Insecta, Hymenoptera, Megachilidae. The record is from RefSeq and is a predicted model, not a curated record.
UACGCUAGAUGGCGCUAAUCAAAUUUUAAUUUUACCUGUCAAUUUAACUACUUAAUCUAGUAAUUUCAUUCUCUCAACGCGAAGUCAUUUCCGUACUGAUAAAUUAAUUAACGCUAGUAAGCUCACAAUUAGUUUUAACUUUCAAUGCACACUGACAAAAUGGAGCUCAUAAUUCUAAAAUCUGUUUUUAAUAUUAACUACUGUAAAGCUUAAUCAACUUAAUUAUAUAUGCAUGUUUAGCAAUGAAUUGAAUUUGGAACUUGUCCAAAUGUUUAACGUCGCGAAUAAUUGAGACUCCACCGCAUAUUUAUUAAAUAGCCUUAUUUUAAGUAUGCAUAUGAACGAUUACGAUCGUGAGUUCGAAUGCGAGAAAUGUGCUCUGUUUCAAAAGAAUGUCGUCCAGUGGAGGAUAUUAUAGGUUGGAGAGAAACUUUUCUCUUGAUAAAUCAGCCGGCUACACCCACGGAAUGGGUUGUUCCGUGGAAAGUUCCAGCAAGUGAACAUAAUAAUAAGGAUAACGUGGGUGGUCAGUCAGGAUGUCGUUUGUUCUCAACAAUUUACCAUCGAAUCAACGAGAAUAACUUUGCGUUCGAUAUUCAAUUUCAUUGAAACUAAUGAAGAACAAUGCGAUUCCUGAUAGAAUGGUCAAGUGGGAUUUAAAACGAAAAGAAUGAUCAUUGGACAGAAAACGUAAAGGAAAAUAGUAGCCUCUGAUGAAUAUCUAGUUGACC